UACAGAGGCCUCGAGCGUUAGGCGGAAUCACUGGGCUUAAAGCGUGUGUAGGUGGAUGCCUAAGUACCUUGUGAAAUCCCAUGGCUUAACCAUGGAACUGCUGGGUAUACUGGGUGUCUUGAGCCACUCAGGGGCUACCGGAACAAACGGUGGAGCGGUGAAAUGCGUAGAUAUCGUUUGGAACGCCAAUGGUGAAAACAGGUAGCUGGGGGUGUGCUGACACUGAGACACGAAAGCCAGGGGAGCGAACGGG
This 253-nucleotide ribosomal RNA is filed under the name uncultured bacterium. RNAcentral describes it as "partial 16S ribosomal RNA". It matches the Rfam family "Bacterial small subunit ribosomal RNA", at positions 524 to 776 of the family's 1533-position model. The record is from RNAcentral.